GUCACAAUAUAGAGUAACUAUACAGGUAUCAUUUUUUAAAGAGCUUAUAGACUGUGUCACUUUUUGCACUUUGUAUAAAAACACAAUUGACCUAGAAAAUGAUUCUAAUUUAUUUUGCCUAAAACCUGAAAUUCUGUUUAAUUUAUUUUGAAUUCCCAACAGUUUACACUUGAGUGAAUAAUCCUGUUAGUGAGGGUAUGAUUUACUUUAUUGUGGCGUUUUGAUAUUUUUCACUUCGUUAUUUUUCUUGUGUACUUUCCCUUUAUUACCUAGAAACUAUUUUUCAUUACAAUACAGUGCAUGAUUUAUCUACCUUUAAAUCAGUCCUAAAGGUCAUUGUCCUAGCCUAUGCAAAGUCACGUAAUUCCAGAGUAUUAGAAUAUCAGUUGAUCACAUACUACAAACAGAAUAUAAGAUUCCAUCUUCACAAUGCUCGCCUUUAAUAAAUAAAUAUAAGUUUAUU
Molecule: non-coding RNA, 463 nt
Organism: Pelobates cultripes (western spadefoot toad)
Lineage: Eukaryota; Metazoa; Chordata; Amphibia; Anura; Pelobatidae
Source: the annotation of a GenBank genome assembly